RNAcentral lists this transfer-messenger RNA (356 nucleotides) under Deltaproteobacteria bacterium OttesenSCG-928-M10. It matches the Rfam family "transfer-messenger RNA". Rfam says of the family: Bacterial tmRNA, also known as 10Sa RNA or SsrA, is named for its dual tRNA and mRNA-like properties. Its role is to liberate the mRNA from a stalled ribosome. The record is from RNAcentral. Lineage: Bacteria; Deltaproteobacteria.
GGGGGCGACAUGGUUUCGACGGGGAUAGUUGAACCUUAGGUGGCAGGUCGAGCGACCCGGUGACUCGUUAAUCCAAAGGGAUUAAACACAAAAGCAGACUCUUACGAGUACGCUCUAGCCGCGUAAGGCUAGCAUCUCUAUAUCGACAUGGCCCGUGGCGGUAUAGGGGUGUGAGCAAAUGGGCUGGCUUCAACCGGUUGUGAAGGGACGGUUGCGGUAAGAAAAUUCUUUUCACUGGUUUUGUCCAUAGCCUGUUCAUUGGCGAUGGCGAAGCGAGAACCAAACAAUGAACUAAACCUGUAGAAGUCUAAGGGGAAGAUCUUCGGACGCGGGUUCAAUUCCCGCCGCCUCCACCA